GCCUUUGUGGUGCAGUGGUCAGCACGCUCGUCUCGUAUUCGAGAGGUCAGUCCUUCGAGUCCCGGCGAGGGCA
This 73-nucleotide transfer RNA is filed under the name Stegodyphus mimosarum. It matches the Rfam family "tRNA". Rfam says of the family: Transfer RNA (tRNA) molecules are approximately 80 nucleotides in length. Their secondary structure includes four short double-helical elements and three loops (D, anti-codon, and T loops). Further hydrogen bonds mediate the characteristic L-shaped molecular structure. tRNAs have two regions of fundamental functional importance: the anti-codon, which is responsible for specific mRNA codon recognition, and the 3' end, to which the tRNAs corresponding amino acid is attached (by aminoacyl-tRNA synthetases). tRNAs cope with the degeneracy of the genetic code in two manners: having more than one tRNA (with a specific anti-codon) for a particular amino acid; and 'wobble' base-pairing, i.e. permitting non-standard base-pairing at the 3rd anti-codon position. The record is from Rfam by way of RNAcentral. Lineage: Eukaryota; Metazoa; Arthropoda; Arachnida; Araneae; Eresidae.